RNAcentral lists this ribosomal RNA (478 nucleotides) under uncultured bacterium. RNAcentral describes it as "partial 16S ribosomal RNA". It matches the Rfam family "Bacterial small subunit ribosomal RNA", at positions 28 to 523 of the family's 1533-position model. The record is from RNAcentral.
GACGAACGCUGGCGGCGUGCCUAACACAUGCAAGUCGAGCGAUGAAACUUCUUCGGAAGUGGAUUAGCGGCGGACGGAUGAGUAACACGCGGGUAACCUGCCUCAUAGUGGGGGAUAACCUUUCGAAAGGAGGAUUAAUACCCUAUAAGAUUGUAGCUUCGCAUGAAGUAGCAAUAAAAGGAGCAAUCCGCUAUGAGAUGGACCCGCGUCGCAUUAGCUAGUUGGUAAGGUAAUGGCUUACCAAGGCGACGAUGCGUAGCCGACCUGAGAGGGUGAUCGGCCACAUUGGGACUGAGACACGGCCCAGACUCCUACGGGAGGCAGCAGUGGGGGAUAUUGCACAAUGGGGGAAACCCUGAUGCAGCAACGCCGCGUGAGUGAUGACGGUCUUCGGAUUGUAAAACUCUGUCUUUGGGGACGAUAAUGACGGUACCCAAGGAGGAAGCCACGGCUAACUACGUGCCAGCAGCCGCGGUAA